This is a small nuclear RNA of Lutra lutra (Eurasian river otter), 107 nucleotides long. The record is from RefSeq and is a predicted model, not a curated record. NCBI's taxonomy places the organism in Eukaryota, Metazoa, Chordata, Mammalia, Carnivora, Mustelidae.
GUACUUGCUUCAGCAGCACAUAUACUAAAAUUGGAAUGAUACAGAGAAGAUUAGCAUGGCCCCUGCACAAGGAUGACAUGCAAAUUCAUGAAGCGUUCCAUAUUUUU